GGGUUGUGAGGUUAAGCGACUAAGCGUACACGGUGGAUGCCCUGGCAGUCAGAGGCGAUGAAGGACGUGCUAAUCUGCGAUAAGCGUCGGUAAGGUGAUAUGAACCGUUAUAACCGGCGAUUUCCGAAUGGGGAAACCCAGUGUGAUUCGUCACACUAUCAUUAACUGAAUCCAUAGGUUAAUGAGGCGAACCGGGGGAACUGAAACAUCUAAGUACCCCGAGGAAAAGAAAUCAACCGAGAUUCCCCCAGUAGCGGCGAGCGAACGGGGAGCAGCCCAGAGCCUGAAUCAGUGUGUGUGUUAGUGGAAGCGUCUGGAAAGGCGCGCGAUACAGGGUGACAGCCCCGUACACAAAAAUGCACAUACUGUGAGCUCGAUGAGUAGGGCGGGACACGUGGUAUCCUGUCUGAAUAUGGGGGGACCAUCCUCCAAGGCUAAAUACUCCUGACUGACCGAUAGUGAACCAGUACCGUGAGGGAAAGGCGAAAAGAACCCCGGCGAGGGGAGUGAAAAAGAACCUGAAACCGUGUACGUACAAGCAGUGGGAGCACGCUUAGGCGUGUGACUGCGUACCUUUUGUAUAAUGGGUCAGCGACUUAUAUUCUGUAGCAAGGUUAACCGAAUAGGGGAGCCGAAGGGAAACCGAGUCUUAACUGGGCGUUAAGUUGCAGGGUAUAGACCCGAAACCCGGUGAUCUAGCCAUGGGCAGGUUGAAGGUUGGGUAACACUAACUGGAGGACCGAACCGACUAAUGUUGAAAAAUUAGCGGAUGACUUGUGGCUGGGGGUGAAAGGCCAAUCAAACCGGGAGAUAGCUGGUUCUCCCCGAAAGCUAUUUAGGUAGCGCCUCGUGAAUUCAUCUCCGGGGGUAGAGCACUGUUUCGGCAAGGGGGUCAUCCCGACUUACCAACCCGAUGCAAACUGCGAAUACCGGAGAAUGUUAUCACGGGAGACACACGGCGGGUGCUAACGUCCGUCGUGAAGAGGGAAACAACCCAGACCGCCAGCUAAGGUCCCAAAGUCAUGGUUAAGUGGGAAACGAUGUGGGAAGGCCCAGACAGCCAGGAUGUUGGCUUAGAAGCAGCCAUCAUUUAAAGAAAGCGUAAUAGCUCACUGGUCGAGUCGGCCUGCGCGGAAGAUGUAACGGGGCUAAACCAUGCACCGAAGCUGCGGCAGCGACGCUGAUGCGUUGUUGGGUAGGGGAGCGUUCUGUAAGCCUGCGAAGGUGUGCUGUGAGGCAUGCUGGAGGUAUCAGAAGUGCGAAUGCUGACAUAAGUAACGAUAAAGCGGGUGAAAAGCCCGCUCGCCGGAAGACCAAGGGUUCCUGUCCAACGUUAAUCGGGGCAGGGUGAGUCGACCCCUAAGGCGAGGCCGAAAGGCGUAGUCGAUGGGAAACAGGUUAAUAUUCCUGUACUUGGUGUUACUGCGAAGGGGGGACGGAGAAGGCUAUGUUGGCCGGGCGACGGUUGUCCCGGUUUAAGCGUGUAGGCUGGUUUUCCAGGCAAAUCCGGAAAAUCAAGGCUGAGGCGUGAUGACGAGGCACUACGGUGCUGAAGCAACAAAUGCCCUGCUUCCAGGAAAAGCCUCUAAGCAUCAGGUAACAUCAAAUCGUACCCCAAACCGACACAGGUGGUCAGGUAGAGAAUACCAAGGCGCUUGAGAGAACUCGGGUGAAGGAACUAGGCAAAAUGGUGCCGUAACUUCGGGAGAAGGCACGCUGAUAUGUAGGUGAAGUCCCUCGCGGAUGGAGCUGAAAUCAGUCGAAGAUACCAGCUGGCUGCAACUGUUUAUUAAAAACACAGCACUGUGCAAACACGAAAGUGGACGUAUACGGUGUGACGCCUGCCCGGUGCCGGAAGGUUAAUUGAUGGGGUCAGCGCAAGCGAAGCUCUUGAUCGAAGCCCCGGUAAACGGCGGCCGUAACUAUAACGGUCCUAAGGUAGCGAAAUUCCUUGUCGGGUAAGUUCCGACCUGCACGAAUGGCGUAAUGAUGGCCAGGCUGUCUCCACCCGAGACUCAGUGAAAUUGAACUCGCUGUGAAGAUGCAGUGUACCCGCGGCAAGACGGAAAGACCCCGUGAACCUUUACUAUAGCUUGACACUGAACAUUGAGCCUUGAUGUGUAGGAUAGGUGGGAGGCUUUGAAGUGUGGACGCCAGUCUGCAUGGAGCCGACCUUGAAAUACCACCCUUUAAUGUUUGAUGUUCUAACGUUGACCCGUAAUCCGGGUUGCGGACAGUGUCUGGUGGGUAGUUUGACUGGGGCGGUCUCCUCCUAAAGAGUAACGGAGGAGCACGAAGGUUGGCUAAUCCUGGUCGGACAUCAGGAGGUUAGUGCAAUGGCAUAAGCCAGCUUGACUGCGAGCGUGACGGCGCGAGCAGGUGCGAAAGCAGGUCAUAGUGAUCCGGUGGUUCUGAAUGGAAGGGCCAUCGCUCAACGGAUAAAAGGUACUCCGGGGAUAACAGGCUGAUACCGCCCAAGAGUUCAUAUCGACGGCGGUGUUUGGCACCUCGAUGUCGGCUCAUCACAUCCUGGGGCUGAAGUAGGUCCCAAGGGUAUGGCUGUUCGCCAUUUAAAGUGGUACGCGAGCUGGGUUUAGAACGUCGUGAGACAGUUCGGUCCCUAUCUGCCGUGGGCGCUGGAGAACUGAGGGGGGCUGCUCCUAGUACGAGAGGACCGGAGUGGACGCAUCACUGGUGUUCGGGUUGUCAUGCCAAUGGCACUGCCCGGUAGCUAAAUGCGGAAGAGAUAAGUGCUGAAAGCAUCUAAGCACGAAACUUGCCCCGAGAUGAGUUCUCCCUGACUCCUUGAGAGUCCUGAAGGAACGUUGAAGACGACGACGUUGAUAGGCCGGGUGUGUAAGCGCAGCGAUGCGUUGAGCUAACCGGUACUAAUGAACCGUGAGGCUUAACCUUACAACGCCGAAGGUGUUU
This 2931-nucleotide ribosomal RNA is filed under the name Escherichia coli. Its description in RNAcentral is "bacterial LSU rRNA". It matches the Rfam family "Bacterial large subunit ribosomal RNA". RNAcentral also lists the same sequence under 1 other name. Lineage: Bacteria; Pseudomonadati; Pseudomonadota; Gammaproteobacteria; Enterobacterales; Enterobacteriaceae. The record is from RNAcentral.